GACACGACUCUCAGUAAUGGAUAUCUCAGCUGUCGCAUCGAUGAAGAGCGUAGUAAAAUGUGAUAUGUGGUGUGAAUUGCAGAAUCUCACGAACCAUCGAGUCUUUGAACACAAGUUGUGCCCGAGGCCAGCCGGCCGAGCACACGUCCGCUUGGGCGUCAAGC
RNAcentral lists this ribosomal RNA (164 nucleotides) under Cymbidium devonianum. RNAcentral describes it as "5.8S ribosomal RNA". It matches the Rfam family "5.8S ribosomal RNA". From Rfam's summary of the family: 5.8S ribosomal RNA (5.8S rRNA) is a component of the large subunit of the eukaryotic ribosome. It is transcribed by RNA polymerase I as part of the 45S precursor that also contains 18S and 28S rRNA. Functionally, it is thought that 5.8S rRNA may be involved in ribosome translocation. The record is from RNAcentral. Lineage: Eukaryota; Viridiplantae; Streptophyta; Magnoliopsida; Asparagales; Orchidaceae.